This 253-nucleotide ribosomal RNA is filed under the name uncultured bacterium. Its description in RNAcentral is "partial 16S ribosomal RNA". It matches the Rfam family "Bacterial small subunit ribosomal RNA", at positions 524 to 776 of the family's 1533-position model. The record is from RNAcentral.
GACGGAGGAUGCAAGCGUUAUCCGGAAUGAUUGGGCGUAAAGCGUCUGCAGGUGGCAGUUCAAGUCUGCUGUCAAAGACCGGGGCUUAACUUCGGAAAGGCAGUGGAAACUGAACAGCUAGAGUAUGGUAGGGGCAGAGGGAAUUCCUGGUGUAGCGGUGGAAUGCGUAGAGAUCCGGAAGAACACCGGUGGCGAAGGCGGCCUGCUGGGCUAUGGCUGACACUGAGGCGCGACAGCGUGGGGAGCAAACAGG